This 500-nucleotide ribosomal RNA is filed under the name uncultured bacterium. RNAcentral describes it as "partial 16S ribosomal RNA". It matches the Rfam family "Bacterial small subunit ribosomal RNA", at positions 30 to 523 of the family's 1533-position model. The record is from RNAcentral.
AUUGAACGCUGGCGGCAGGCCUAACACAUGCAAGUCGAGCGGUAGAGAGGAGCUUGCUUCUCUUGAGAGCGGCGGACGGGUGAGUAAUGCCUAGGAAUCUGCCUGAUAGUGGGGGAUAACGUCCGGAAACGGACGCUAAUACCGCAUACGUCCUACGGGAGAAAGUGGGGGCUCUUCGGACCUCACGCUAUCAGAUGAGCCUAGGUCGGAUUAGCUAGUUGGUGGGGUAAAGGCUCACCAAGGCGACGAUCCGUGACUGGUCUGAGAGGAUGAUCAGUCACACUGGAACUGAGACACGGUCCAGACUCCUACGGGAGGCAGCAGUGGGGAAUAUUGGACAAUGGGCGAAAGCCUGAUCCAGCCAUGCCGCGUGUGUGAAGAAGGUCUUCGGAUUGUAAAGCACUUUAAGUUGGGAGGAGGGGUCGUUACCUAAUACGUGACGAUUUCGACGUUACCGACAGAAUAAGCACCGGCUAACUCUGUGCCAGCCGCCGCCGUAA